RNAcentral lists this ribosomal RNA (449 nucleotides) under uncultured bacterium. RNAcentral's name for it is "bacterial SSU rRNA". It matches the Rfam family "Bacterial small subunit ribosomal RNA", at positions 331 to 792 of the family's 1533-position model. The record is from RNAcentral.
CCAGACUCCUACGGGAGGCAGCAGUGGGGAAUAUUGGGCAAUGGGCGCAAGCCUGACCCAGCAACGCCGCGUGAAGGAAGAAGGCUUUCGGGUUGUAAACUUCUUUUCUUGGGGACGAAGAAAGUGGCGGUACCCAAGGAAUAAGCCACGGCUAACUACGUGCCAGCAGCCGCGGUCAUACGUAGGGGCCAAGCAUUAUCCGGAGUGACUGGGUGUAAAGAGUUGCGUAGGUGGCAUAAUAAGUAACUAGUGAAAUCUGGUGGCUCAACCAUUCAGACUAUUAGUUAAACUGUUAAGCUCGAGACCGUUAGGGGUAACUGGAAUUUCUAGUGUAGGAGUGAAAUCCGUAGAUAUUAGAAGGAACACCGAUAGCGUAGGCAGGUUACUGGGACGGUUCUGACACUAAGGCACGAAAGCGUAGGGAGCAAACGGGAUUAGAUACCCGCGUA